RNAcentral lists this ribosomal RNA (655 nucleotides) under uncultured Pseudomonadota bacterium. RNAcentral's name for it is "bacterial SSU rRNA". It matches the Rfam family "Bacterial small subunit ribosomal RNA", at positions 76 to 727 of the family's 1533-position model. Lineage: Bacteria; Pseudomonadati; Pseudomonadota. The record is from RNAcentral.
GAGCUUGCUCUUCGAUUCAGCGGCGGACGGGUGAGUAAUGCCUAGGAAUCUGCCUGGUAGUGGGGGACAACGUUUCGAAAGGAACGCUAAUACCGCAUACGUCCUACGGGAGAAAGCAGGGGACCUUCGGGCCUUGCGCUAUCAGAUGAGCCUAGGUCGGAUUAGCUAGUUGGUGAGGUAAUGGCUUACCAAGGCGACGAUCCGUAACUGGUCUGAGAGGAUGAUCAGUCACACUGGAACUGAGACACGGUCCAGACUCCUACGGGAGGCAGCAGUGGGGAAUAUUGGACAAUGGGCGAAAGCCUGAUCCAGCCAUGCCGCGUGUGUGAAGAAGGUCUUCGGAUUGUAAAGCACUUUAAGUUGGGAGGAAGGGCAGUAAGUUAAUACCUUGCUGUUUUGACGUUACCGACAGAAUAAGCACCGGCUAACUCUGUGCCAGCAGCCGCGGUAAUACAGAGGGUGCAAGCGUUAAUCGGAAUUACUGGGCGUAAAGCGCGCGUAGGUGGUUCGUUAAGUUGGAUGUGAAAGCCCCGGGCUCAACCUGGGAACUGCAUCCAAAACUGGCGAGCUAGAGUAUGGUAGAGGGUGGUGGAAUUUCCUGUGUAGCGGUGAAAUGCGUAGAUAUAGGAAGGAACACCAGUGGCGAAGGCGACCA